Molecule: ribosomal RNA, 274 nt
Filed under: uncultured bacterium
Lineage: Bacteria
Description: partial 16S ribosomal RNA
Rfam family: Bacterial small subunit ribosomal RNA
Source: RNAcentral
AUACGGAGGGUGCAAGCGUUAAUCGGAAUUACUGGGCGUAAAGCGCGCGUAGGCGGUUUGAUCAGUCGGAUGUGAAAGCCCUGGGCCCAACCUGGGAACUGCAUUCGAUACUGUCAGACUAGAAUAUGGUAGAGGGUAGUGGAAUUCCUGGUGUAGCGGUGAAAUGCGUAGAUAUCAGGAGGAACAUCAGUGGCGAAGGCGGCUACCUGGACCAAUAUUGACGCUGAGGUGCGAAAGCGUGGGGAGCAAACAGGAUUAGAUACCCUAGUAGUCC